GAUGAACGCUGGCGGCGUGCCUAAUACAUGCAAGUCGAACGAACAGACGAUGAGCUUGCUCCUCUCACGUUAGCCGCGGACGGGAGAGUAACACGUGUAUAACCUACCUAUAAUACUGGGAUAACUUCGGGAAACCGGAGCUAAUACCGGAUAAUAUAUUGAACCGCAUUGUUCAAUAGUGAAAUUCGGUUUUUCUGUCACUUAUAGCUGGUUCCGGGCCGCAUUAGCUAGUUGUGAAGGUAAAGGCUUACCAAGGCAACGAUGCGUAGCCGAACUGAGAGGGGGAUAGGCGACACUGGAACUGAGACACCGUCAAGACUCCUACGGGAGGCAGCAGUAGGGAAUCUUCCGCAAUGGGCGAAAGCAUGACGGAGCAACGCCGAGUGAGUGAUGAAAGUCUUCGGAUCGUAAUACUCUGUUAUUAGGGAAGAACAAAUGUGUAAGUAACUAUGCCCGUCUUGACGGUAACUAAUCAGAAAGCCACGGCUAACUACGUG
Molecule: ribosomal RNA, 497 nt
Filed under: uncultured bacterium
Lineage: Bacteria
Description: partial 16S ribosomal RNA
Rfam family: Bacterial small subunit ribosomal RNA
Source: RNAcentral